Long non-coding RNA from Cottoperca gobio, 408 nucleotides. RefSeq lists it as uncharacterized. The transcript is spliced from 5 exons. The record is from RefSeq and is a predicted model, not a curated record. NCBI's taxonomy places the organism in Eukaryota, Metazoa, Chordata, Actinopteri, Perciformes, Bovichtidae.
AGACUUACGUUCUUGAUCCUUUCUCUGGCGCCGUGGAAGCUCCUACUCUUCAACAUGCGGUCCUCACUUAUCGUGACGCAUUUAUGUCUAAAUAUGGACGUUACUGCAGAUGACCCUCCGUGAACAGGUGGCUUUCCUGAUAUGGAAUGAGACUCAUCUUAAGAAAGGCGUAGCCCUUAAUCGCAAUGAAGAUUCAGGUCUGUCCCACUAGACGCUGACUGAAAACGAAGAGGCCUAAUGGAGAGGUCUUAACAAUCUGCAACGCAUGGCUAUAGGCAGACCCGUGGGGGCUGAGAAAAGCUGUUCAGAUCAUAUUCAUGGGAACGCAGACCCAAGGGCUUGGGCUUGAUCCAGAAGUCUGACGCCUCAGUAGAUUUGUUGGUAUACAAAUUAAAAACGUUUGUCAAA